Long non-coding RNA from Acomys russatus (golden spiny mouse), 198 nucleotides. RefSeq lists it as uncharacterized. The transcript has 4 exons. NCBI's taxonomy places the organism in Eukaryota, Metazoa, Chordata, Mammalia, Rodentia, Muridae. The record is from RefSeq and is a predicted model, not a curated record.
UCUCUUUCUAGGUCCUGUGCCUACUCACCCCACCAAGCCUCCAGUUUACAAGUACCCAGGCUAUUCUGAUCCUCGUGGAGGAAUAUAUGGCCAAGAAUUAGAUGCAUGGAUUAUUGCUCUGAUUAUUAUUACUUCAAUUGUUGGCGUUGCUGUGAUUUUUCUCAUCAUACUGCGGUGUCUUCAGUACAGGAAGAAAAG